This 328-nucleotide ribosomal RNA is filed under the name uncultured Verrucomicrobiota bacterium. RNAcentral describes it as "bacterial SSU rRNA". It matches the Rfam family "Bacterial small subunit ribosomal RNA", at positions 29 to 351 of the family's 1533-position model. Lineage: Bacteria; Pseudomonadati; Verrucomicrobiota. The record is from RNAcentral.
AACGAACGCUGGCGGCGUGGAUAAGACAUGCAAGUCGAACGGGGCAUUUCAGGUAGCAAUAUUUGGGAUGUUCAGUGGCGAACGGGUGCGUAACACGUGGAUAACAUUCCGGGAAGCGGGGGAUAGCCCAGGGAAACUUGGAUUAAUACCGCAUGUGGUCGAGAGACUAAAGGUGGGGACCGCAAGGCCUGCCACUUCCCGAUUGGUCCGCGGCCUAUCAGCUAGUUGGUGAGGUAAUGGCUCACCAAGGCUACGACGGGUAGCUGGUCUUAGAGGACGACCAGCCACACUGGAACUGAGACACGGUCCAGACACCUACGGGAGGCAG